GAGCGGACCGCGGGCGCUGGGCGGGUCCGCGGCGCGGUCGGUCGGCGCCUAUUCUCGGGCUCUUUGGCGGACGAAGCUUCACAAAAGAUGUCUAAGGUGAAUCAGGUCUAGGAAAAUCGACUCUCAUAAACAGCCUAUUCCUAACUGAUCUCUACCCAGAAAGAGUCAUACCUGGAGCAGCAGUUUGUUUCUUUUCUAGAAAAAAUUGAAAGAACUGUCCAGAUUGAGGCUUCAACUGUUGAAAUUGAAGAGCGAGGGGUCAAGCUACGCCUGACAGUGGUAGAUACCCCUGGCUAUGGUGACGCUAUCAACUGCAGAGAUUGUUUUAAGACAAUUAUCUCCUAUAUUGAUGAGCAAUUUGAGAGGUACCUGCAUGACGAGAGCGGCUUGAACAGGAGGCACAUCAUUGAUAAUAGGGUGCAUUGUUGCUUUUACUUUAUUUCACCUUUUGGACAUGGACUUAAGCCCUUAGAUGUGGCGUUUAUGAAGGCAAUACACAACAAGGUGAAUAUUGUGCCUGUCAUUGCAAAAGCUGACACUCUCACUCUGAAGGAACGGGAGCGGCUGAAGAAAAGG
Molecule: small RNA, 576 nt
Filed under: Pongo abelii (Sumatran orangutan)
Lineage: Eukaryota; Metazoa; Chordata; Mammalia; Primates; Hominidae
Description: processed transcript
Source: RNAcentral